CAUCCUGCAGACUGGAUUAUGCCAGCUUCGACCAUGCCCCCACCCUUGCACCCCGACAACAUGCACAAACACUGAUAAGAAGAAGCCGGGACGUGAGCCGGUGUGGGUGGAAAAUACCCAGUGCUCCUACCGGACGACUUGGAAUAAACCAUGCCCCGUCUGCAUCAUUUUUGACUUUUAACCCAAUAAGGACCUCACAAGAGGAAUCCUAUAUGAAGCUUCCGCGCACUCUGUUUAAGCGCCUUUUCCUUGGACACUCAACCCUGUUGGGUGUUCAACUUAGGACCGUACACGUUUAACUGUACGGGAGCAUUAACUCUGCUUUUUAUUACUGAAUAAAUAUUGAGAACUAACUUUAGUUCACCGGACUCCGUUUGCUCAUUAAUUGUUGGGUUGUACUCCACAACAAAAUUGGUAGCAGAGGAUGGUUUGAAAAAGAUCGUAAUUCAUGGGAGAGAGUUUCUAAACUAUUUUCUCCCUGACCGUAGGACAUCGGAGUGAUCGGACCGAGUGAACCAAGCGGCUUUUUGUCUUCAUACGGACCUCGGGAAUCUGAUCACAGAGAGCUCUCAACUGAAACAAAAGCCCUCUCUACCCAGGUGGCGAAAACUCUCGAGAAAGAGCCAACGGAAGGAGAGGACCAGACCGUGAAAAUAGGUGACUGGGUAAGGGUCAAGGUUCACAAGAGAAAGUGGGAUGACCCCAGGUGGACUGGACCGUACGAAGUGAAGGAGGUUACCUCACACUCGGUCCAGGUCAGAGGCAAAUCAGGAGCGCCCUGGCAUCACUUGACACAUUGUUCCCCAGCAUCUCCACCAACACGCUCCCUUGCUGAAGUAAGGAGGGACGUGGCCGAUUUGGACAAUGGAGAAGGUAGCGAUACGACUGUUAGGGGCUCCGGCCCAGCCACAGGCUUACAGACGCCCCUCCCUUAAGGAACUAGGUUUGACCAAAGAGAAGCCCCGUCCACCUCCCUAUGAGGCUGGAAACUACCCCCUGUUGACCGUAGAAAGCACCGACGAAGACUGCACGUAUGACGUCCCUCAGGUAUAAGAAGGGGGGCCAACUAUACAUAGAAUAUGUUCCACACCUAUCAGGUGUGGAAAGGGGGAUUUGUAGAGCAUUUUAUUACAGCAUUAAGGUAAAUCUGCACACUAGCUUGCUUCAGCCUAAACAACACACAGCAUUGACCCUAGCGUUAAGGUCACGUAAGUUCGCGACGAGUUACGAGAGCCCAAGGCCGAACUCAGAAGGGAGCGCCCGGUCCCAGCACACACACUGCCCUUAUCAUUGACUAGGGCAAAGGAGAGGGAGAUACACAGUAGCAUCCCAGCCGUUAGUCAAAGGCACCCCAUCCUGCAGACUGGAUUAUGCCAGCUUCGACCAUGCCCCCACCCUUGCACCCCGACAACAUGCACAAACACUGAUAAGAAGAAGCCGGGACGUGAGCCGGUGUGGGUGGAAAAUACCCAGUGCUCCUACCGGACGACUUGGAAUAAACCAUGCCCCGUCUGCAUCAUUUUUGACUUUUAACCCAAUAAGGACCUCACAAGAGGCAUCCUAUAUGAAGCUUCCGCGCACUCUGUUUAAGCGCCUUUUCCUUGGACACUCAACCCUGUUGGGUGUUCAACUUAGGACCGUACACGUUUAACUGUACAGGAGCAUUAACUCUGCUUUUUAUUACUGAAUAAAUACUGAAAACUAACUUUAGUUCACCGGACUCCGUUUGCUCAUUAAUUGUUGGGUUGUACU
Long non-coding RNA from Cyclopterus lumpus (lumpfish), 1752 nucleotides. RefSeq lists it as uncharacterized. NCBI's taxonomy places the organism in Eukaryota, Metazoa, Chordata, Actinopteri, Perciformes, Cyclopteridae. The record is from RefSeq and is a predicted model, not a curated record. The transcript is spliced from 2 exons.